This 329-nucleotide unclassified non-coding RNA is filed under the name soil metagenome. RNAcentral describes it as "partial contains 5.8S ribosomal RNA, internal transcribed spacer 2, and large subunit ribosomal RNA". The stretch from base 1 to 120 matches the Rfam family "5.8S ribosomal RNA", at positions 35 to 154 of the family's 154-position model. The record is from RNAcentral.
GAUGAAGAACGUAGCGAAAUGCGAUAAGUAAUGUGAAUUGCAGAAUUCAGUGAAUCAUCGAAUCUUUGAACGCACAUUGCGCCCGCUAGUAUUCUGGCGGGCAUGCCUGUUCGAGCGUCAUUACAACCCUCAAGCUCAGCUUGGUGUUGGGCCCCGCCGCCCCGGCGGGCCCUAAAGUCAGUGGCGGUGCCGUCCGGCUCCGAGCGUAGUAAUUCUUCUCGCUCUGGAGGUCCGGUCGUGUGCUCGCCAGCAACCCCCAAUUUUUUUCAGGUUGACCUCGGAUCAGGUAGGGAUACCCGCUGAACUUAAGCAUAUCAAUAAGCGGAGGA